CCCCAAAUUUCCUUUCUUCACAACCUAAACCCCACGACAACUCCUCUCGUGCGCUCCAUACACCCAUCUCUCUCGCAAAGAUCGACAACCCAACGCCUGUGCUGAACUGCCGAACUACCCCUCCACCGAAGAAUGCAAUCGACCCACGACCCCUCUGCCGAAGAAUACUGAAGAACUUGUAGAACCACGACUCCUCCGCCGAAGAACUCGAAGAACGUUGUCGACCCUCGACCCCUCCACCGAAGAACGUCGAAGAACACCGUCGACCCACGACCCCUCCGUCAAAGAACCCCUCCUCCGAAGAACGUCGAAUUUGCCUAAUCUUCACCACUGAAUCCGUCGAUUCUUCACAAUCGACGACCCCUUUUUUGCUCUUUGUUGUGUUUCUUUUCUAACUUAAGUCCCCUUUUCUUAUUAUUUGACCAUAUAACGUAUCUGACUUGCAAUCAUACUUCUAGUAGCAUAUUAGUACUCAAGCUUGACAUUAUUUCAUUAAUUGUUACGAUUAAAAUAAAAGGAUCCAAAUAAUAGGGAGUAGCCUCUAUUCAUUUCAUCAAUGAAAAAUGAUGUUUCGGUUUCAAAAAAAUUAUUGUCUGGGAAUGGACCGUUGGGAAGCAUAAGUAUAUAUUUAUGUAUGUAUAGAUCUUGUUUAGAAAUAGAAUUAAGUGCUCUUUUGUUAGCAUUAAUAAGGCCUUCAAGGUUUUACUGUGUUAAAUUUUGGUAUUUCCACGAUAUUAUCUGUUAAAGGUCUUGAAAUUUUUAAUGGAGCGAAAUAGCGUCAAUGUCAUUCAUGGUCAGGUGACCAUUGGUACUCUUAUUCUUCAGGUAUAUGACUAAAUUCCUCUUUCAAUAGUUCAUCAUAUUAUUAAUUAGGAGAUCUUGUAUUUUGGAGCAGUAGUUUGGUAAGAUGCUAAAUAUAUGUUUAUAUAUGUAGGGGGACGUAGUUUGGCUUUUCCAGAAAAUUCUGACAGUGCUGGAACUCUGUAUGAUGCUGUUCCUCGAAGCCUUACAAUUUCCAAUCAUAACUUGACAACAGAUACAGAUACACUUCUUUUGGAGUUUCCUAAUCAACCACUCACGACAAAUGUUUAUGUUCGAAAUAAUGCCAAGGCUUCAGUUCCUUUGCUCUGGAGUCGUGUUCAGGUUCAAGGUCAGAUUAGCCUUCUAUCUGGCCGAGUAUUAAAUUUUGGGCUGGGGCACUAAGCCUCUUCAGAGUUUGAGCUAUUGGCAGAAGAACUUUAAAUGAGCAACUCAUAAAUCAAGGAAUCAUCUAUUAUACAGCGUCUGGUUCUGUCUUUAUUUUAUAGUAUUCAUAUUGGCUCUGCUGUUGGUGGUACUUAUUUUAGCUCAUGAAUUAGAGGUAGUAGAGGAUGCAGAAUGCAAGUUUUUUUGAAGUCAAGUUUCGUUCAAGGUCAUUGAGUUGGGUUGAUAGAAGUAAUGUUUUUGUAUAUGACAAUAUCGAACAAAUAUGUAAAGUUUUCGAAAUUUUGAUACAUAUAUGGUAAAAUGUUAAUAUAUGUUAAAGUUUUGGAA
Long non-coding RNA from Cucumis melo (muskmelon), 1533 nucleotides. RefSeq lists it as uncharacterized. The transcript has 4 exons. Lineage: Eukaryota; Viridiplantae; Streptophyta; Magnoliopsida; Cucurbitales; Cucurbitaceae. The record is from RefSeq and is a predicted model, not a curated record.